Long non-coding RNA from Nicotiana attenuata, 1455 nucleotides. RefSeq lists it as uncharacterized. Lineage: Eukaryota; Viridiplantae; Streptophyta; Magnoliopsida; Solanales; Solanaceae. The record is from RefSeq and is a predicted model, not a curated record. The transcript has 3 exons.
CAAAAAUAUAACUUUUGGAGUCGCACGUAAUCACUCAGAUGCAUUCCAUACCUUCCAUGAACUUGAAGGUCUGCAGGACAUUGUCAGGAAGAAUGUUCCAUGAUGGGUACUUAUAAGGAUGAUACCGCCAAUUCACUAUGUCCUCCUAGAGUUCGUGCAAUGUUGGCAUCACGUGCCUGCAAAUCAUCUAUUGUUAUUGGAGAUCCACUUGGGAGAAAUGAGAUGCAAAAGAUACUUGACAAUCUAUCACGACUAAAGUCUCCGUGGAAUUGUCCACAUGGUAGACCAACAAUGCGUCACUUGGUUGAUCUGAGGACUGUACAUAGAAGAAUAGAAGCGGCUGAGAAUGAGACCGCCUUAUAAACUCCAGUUGGUAACACAGCCACCAAACUGAAGCGGGUACUUCUUUCUGUAAAUUAUUGGAAACAUGUUAAUCAAGGCUGCAUUUUGCCUAGAAUUAUCAAAAUGUCGAGGAAUUAAUUGAGAACACAGAAAGGGGUCUUUUGCUUUCCAUCUACUUUGUAAAGUAUAGAGACAAUAGAGAAAUCUCUCUUGUGUUGUAUUCAAGAAGUAAAGAGUAUAUAUACAAGUACAUAGAGCCUUAACUAUGGAAAGAAUCAAAAAGGAAAUCCUAUAAAUCUGCUGUGAAUCCCUAUAAUUAUGCUAGCUAUGUAUAUUACAUAAGAUUAUGUCUAUAUUCAGAUUAUGUCUACAUUCAUUAUCUAACACUCCCCCUCAAGCUGGAGCAUAGAUAUUGAUCAUGCCCAGCUUGUUACAAAGGUACUCAACUCGAAUUCCAUUCAACGCCUUUGUGAACAAAUCAGCCGGUUGCUCUCCUGUCUUCACGUAGCCAGUGGAGAUCAAGUUCUCCUGAAUCUUCUCACGAAUAAAAUGGCAGUCAACCUCAAUAUGCUUAGUUCUUUCAUGAUACACCGGAUUUGACGCAAUAUGGAGGGCAGCUUGAUGGUCACACCAGAGUUUUGCUGGUAUUGGAUGCUCUAACCCAAUUUCAGUCAACAGAUGAUGUAUCCACAUAAUCUCACAUGUAGACUGUGACAUAGCUCUAUACUCGGAUUCUGCACUAGAUCGAGAUACAACACUUUGCUUCUUACUCCUCCAUGAUACCAAGUUUCCUCCAACAAGACACAAUAACCUGUAGUAGAUCUUCUAUCAAUUUUCGAUCCAGCCCAGUCAGCAUCUGCAAAACACUCAAUAUAAGUAUGAUUGUGAUUGCUAUAUAAUAUGCCAAGUCCAGGAGCUCCUUUCAAGUAACACAAAAUCUUUUCCAAAGCUGCCCAAUGUUUGACCGUUGGUGCAGACAUGAACUGGCUAACAACACUUACUGCAAAAGCAAUAUCUGGACGAGUCACAGUAAAGUAGUUUAAUUUCCCAACUAACCUCCUGUAUCUCUCUGAAUCGUCAAAAGGAUCACCAUCAUCUUUCAUAAGAUGCACA